GGCCCCAUCGUCUAGGGGUGAGGACGCCGGAUUCUCAUUCCGGUAACAGGGGUUCGAUUCCCCUUGGGGCUACCA
RNAcentral lists this transfer RNA (75 nucleotides) under Candidatus Cloacimonadota bacterium. Its description in RNAcentral is "tRNA-Glu". It matches the Rfam family "tRNA". From Rfam's summary of the family: Transfer RNA (tRNA) molecules are approximately 80 nucleotides in length. Their secondary structure includes four short double-helical elements and three loops (D, anti-codon, and T loops). RNAcentral also lists the same sequence under 2 other names. The record is from RNAcentral. Lineage: Bacteria; Pseudomonadati; Candidatus Cloacimonadota.